This 355-nucleotide RNase P RNA is filed under the name Nitrococcus sp. RNAcentral's name for it is "RNase P RNA component class A". It matches the Rfam family "Bacterial RNase P class A". From Rfam's summary of the family: Ribonuclease P (RNase P) is a ubiquitous endoribonuclease, found in archaea, bacteria and eukarya as well as chloroplasts and mitochondria. Its best characterised activity is the generation of mature 5'-ends of tRNAs by cleaving the 5'-leader elements of precursor-tRNAs. The record is from RNAcentral. Lineage: Bacteria; Pseudomonadati; Pseudomonadota; Gammaproteobacteria; Chromatiales; Ectothiorhodospiraceae.
GAAGCCGGCUGGGCAGUCGCUGUGCCGCUUAUGGUAUGGAGGAAAGUCCGGGCUCCACAGGGCGAGGUGCCAGGUAACGCCUGGGCGGCGUGAGCCGACGGAAAGUGCCGCAGAAAACAAACCGCCGAUGGCCCCGCAGCGGGGCUCAGGUAAGGGUGAAACGGUGCGGUAAGAGCGCACCGCACGGGUGGUAACACUCCGUGGCACGGCAAACCCCACCUGGAGCAAGACCAAAUAGGGGAGCGAGCGUGUGGCCCGCAUGGCUCCCGGGUAGGUCGCUUGAGAUGCGCGGUGACGCGUAUCGUAGAGGAAUGGCUGCCCUCGACAGAACCCGGCUUAUAGGCCGACUUCCCGU